AACGCACAUUGCGCCCUUUGGUAUUCCGAAGGGCAUGCCUGUUCGAGCGUCAUUGUCAACCCUCAAGCCUGGCUUGCAGUUGAGUUUAGCCCGUCACACCGGCUGGCUCGAAAGACAAUGGCAGCGUCGUUUGGACCCUGGAUGCAACGAGCUUUCACAAGCACGCAUUGAAGUGGCCGAACAACCCUCGCCGAGAACCUCUUUUUCAAGGUUGACCUCGGAUCAGGUAGGAAUACCCGCUGAACUUAA
RNAcentral lists this unclassified non-coding RNA (249 nucleotides) under uncultured fungus. Its description in RNAcentral is "sequence contains ITS2". The stretch from base 1 to 52 matches the Rfam family "5.8S ribosomal RNA", at positions 103 to 154 of the family's 154-position model. The record is from RNAcentral. Lineage: Eukaryota; Fungi.